GGAAAAUUACAAUUGUCCCAGAAUAGGGCAGCACGGCGUUCUCUUAAAUGUACACAGAGGGCUAACAUUAAUACUAUGCAUGUCAAUCUCUCCUGGCUCAAAGUGGAGGAGAGAUUGACUUCAUCAAUACUUGUAUUUGUGAAAAGUAUUGACAUGUUGAAUGCAGCGAGCUGUCUGUUUAAACUACUAGCACACAGCUCAGACACCCAUGCAUACCCCACAAGACAUGCCACCAGAGGUCUCUUCAAAGUCUCCAAGUCCAGAACAGGCUAUGGGAGGCACACAGUACUACAUAGAGCCAUGACUACAUGGAACUCUAUUCCACGUCAAGUAACUGAUGCAAGCAGUAAAAUCAGAUUUAAAAACCAGACAAAACUACACCUUAUGGAACAGCAGGGACUGUGAAGAGACACACACAUGCAUACACACACGUACAGUACACAUGGAUAUUAUGUUGUAGAUAUGUGGUAGUGGCCUGAAGGAACACAGUGUUGUGAAAUGUAAUGUUUUUAGAACUGCCUUAAUGUUCCUGGAGCCCAGGAAGAGUAGCUGCUGCCUUGGCAGGAACUAAUGAGGAUCCAUAAUAAAACCCAGGAAGAGAAGCUGCUGCCUUGGCAGGAACUAAUGGGGAUCCAUAAUAACCCCAGGAACAGUAUCUGCUGCCUUGGCAGGAACUAAUGGGGAUCCAUAAUAACCCCAGGAACAGUAGCUGCUGCCUUGGCAGGAACUAAUGAGGAUCCAUAAUAACCCCCAGGAAGAGUAGCUGCUGCCUUGGCAGGAACUAAUGGGGAUCCAUAAUAAACCCCAGGAAGAGUAGCUGCUGCCUUGGCAGGAACUAAUGAGGAUCCAUAAUAAACCCCAGGAAGAGUAGCUGCUGCCUUGGCAGGAACUAAUGAGGAUCCAUAAUAAACCCCAGAAGAGUAGCUGCUGCCUUGGCAGGAACUAAUGAGGAUCCAUAAUAAACCCCAGGAAAAGUAGCUGCUGCCUUGGCAGGAACUAAUGAGGAUCCAUAAUAACCCCAGGAAGAGUAGCUGCUGCCUUGGCAGGAACUAUUGAGGAUCCAUAAUAAACACUAGUACAAAUACAUGUUGUUCAACUCUGUGCUGGUGGUUGUUGUGGCAACCCUGAAGGAGGAAAUGGAGAAGAGGUCUCACUUUUACUUGCUGUCCUACAACAGGUACCUCAGUGGUGAUCAUUGUGUGUGUGAGUCUGGCUGUGUUGGUGUUUGCUGUCAUCACCCUCAUAUUCUACAGGUGCUGACGACGCAACAAGGCUCUAGGUGAGAUACCAUCAAUAUCACACACACACAUAUACAUACAAAGAUUUAUAAUAUACAGUCUAUUGUGUGUUUCACAGGGUCAAUCUCGAACAGGCCUGAUGCAGACACAGGAAGCACUGAAGAGGUUGAUGAUGAGGAAGAUGGUGAUGAUGAAGAAAAUAUAACUUCCACCCACAAUGCAGCGGCCCCUCAGCCCGUGUCUACCGCUGACCCAGAAUGCAUUGCUCAUGUCCCCGCCCUCUACCAAUCAGCCUUUUAAGCACUCGACCCUAAAGCAUUGGACCAGAACCUCAACAAUAUCACAACUACUAACUCCGGAUAGACUGUAGCACAGAGAUCCUAAUAAAAUCUG
This 1631-nucleotide long non-coding RNA is filed under the name Salmo salar (Atlantic salmon). RNAcentral describes it as "lncRNA (ENSSSAG00000087094.1)". The record is from RNAcentral. Lineage: Eukaryota; Metazoa; Chordata; Actinopteri; Salmoniformes; Salmonidae.